GGGAAGACCCGGCGCCCUCGGCAGCUCCCACCGCCGCUCGCAGCCAGAGCGAUGUCCCGUGCGGCGGCGCUGGGAAGGACCUGAGGCCCCCGCCGGCUCUGGCGUAGCAGCGGCCGCUAUGAAGCCAAGGGCCCCGCUCACUCCGUCACUCUCUCCUCCCCCGGAGGCUGCGCUGACCGGACAAUGGCCGCUCCGCCCCCUCCCCUCCUCACACACCCCUCCCAAGGAGUCACAAUGGUCUCGCCCGGGGGAGCCGCCGCCAAAGCCCAGCAGCUGAUCAGCUGGGAUCCGGGCGUGCCACUUUGUUCAGCGCCUCAAAGGAAAAGUAUUGGGCUGUGGGCAAAGCCGAGAGCGUCGGGCUAUCACUCGGCGAAGGGCCUCUGAGGCUCUCGUAUUCUUGGAACUUUUAAAAUCUGAGGCAAACUUACCUUCUCCCCGUCUGAAGAAGGGGAGCAGGCUUCUGAGCACUCGGGGACGCGCUGCCUCCCCUCAAACGCGAAUGAGUGGACACGUUGGUUUUUAGAGGGGAACUAUGGCCGAAUCAGUGAUGAAAAUUGAUGUAACCAAAGAAGUUCGAGCCACUAAAAAAUAAGCCUUUAGCACUCCAUGUCUUUGAUCUUGAACUCAUUCUGAGUUCCAGCCAAUCAUCUGCUUUCACUGCUGCUCUGGGAACACAGCGGAACGUGACUGUCCACGCUUGCCUUGCCUCACUUCAAGAACCAGCAGAAAUUAAUCAGUUAUCUAUGAAUCCCAGUUCUCAGGAGAAAGAACCUGACUGGUCAAAUUUAUGUUAGGUUGUCCAUUCUUGAUAAAGUUGCUUUGAGCCAGUCCAGGCUCUUUGUUUUGUAAUGCAUACAGGACUGCCAGAGGCCCAUCCUUGUAGCCUGUGGGUCUCAAAAAAGGUCAGUGAUGUUCUUGACAAAGAUUCCAAAGGUAUCUACCAGAGACCAAAAAAGGAGUCAAUUGCAGCCUGAAAUCAAAAAGCAUAAAGAACAGUGGACAUGAUGGGGUGCCUGGGUGGCUCAGUCGUUAAGCGUCUGCCUUCGGAUCAGGUCAUGAUCUCAGGGUCCCGGGAUUGAGCCCCGCAUCGGGCUCCCUGCUCAGCAGGAAGCCUGCUUCUCCCUCUCCCACUCCCCCUGCUUGUGUUCCCUCUCACUGUGUCUCUCUCUGUCAAAUAAAUAAAUAAAAUCUUAAAAAAAAAAAGAACAGUAGACAUGUUCAAGAAUUUUCCAACAAACUAACUCCUACUCAAACUAUUUCAGGCCUAAAAUUAAAUGGCAUUCCCUCAAAGAAGCUUUCACUGAUCCCCAGCCCCAGUUAAGAUUAUGUUGUCCCAGGCACCUGGGUGGCUCAGAUGGUUAAGCGUCUGCCUUCGGCUCAGGUCAUGAUCCUGGGAUCCUGGGAUUGAGUCCCGCAUCGGGCUCCUAGCUAGGCGGGGAGCCUGCUUCUCCCUCUG
Molecule: long non-coding RNA, 1456 nt
Organism: Zalophus californianus (California sea lion)
Lineage: Eukaryota; Metazoa; Chordata; Mammalia; Carnivora; Otariidae
Exons: 3
Source: RefSeq, a predicted model, not a curated record